GGGUGUCGUUCUUACUUCUUACCAACAACUUAUACAAAGUUGAAACUUGACAUAAUCGUUCUUGCAGAUAGACAAGUCAACCACCCAUAAUAUUAUCAUUCAAAUACAUUCGAGUUCAUAUAUGUAUCAAUUUUCAACUCAAACACACUGAUAAUUGGGAACAUAACAGAGGCCGAACUUAUUGACUGAUAUGCGUCAAUAUGUUGUCAUGAGUAAAGAUCAUACAUUAGCUGGACAACAAAACAAUGCUACCUAUGUUACUUAAUGCAAAAAUUAGAAGAGGGAGUGGUGUUUCUUUUGCUCCUGUUGUCAAGAAUCCUCAGUAGUUUUAUCAACUUUGCGUUAGUUUAUGCUUUUCACUGAUCUCACAUGUCCUUCCAGUUCCAGCAACAGAGAGGAAUCCCAAUAAUUAGACAAUGUAAGAAGAUGGAUCAAUUGGCUAAGAAUCAGGGUGAAAUUUAUUUGCAUAUACAAAAUCAUGGAAGACUAGGUUCAAUUUUGCCAAUAUAAAGUUACCUGAGGUGGAAUAAUCAAGGUCCGUGCUAGCCACUUUAUCAAGAAAAACAAUAAUUAUAUGCCUCAAGGAUAUUAAUAAAUGUAAUACACAUUAUAUGCUAAUUAAAGAUACCUUCUAAGACUCGUCCUCGCAAAGGUGUUUUAAUAGUCCCUGGAGUUCCUUGCUGUUAUUUAAUUUUUACCCUUGCUUUAACUAUAGCUCACACCUUUCUAGCAGGCACUCAUUUAUCUUACUACAAUCAAAAAUUGAUUAUCAAUGUUCAUAUUUCUCUAUUUGCUUCAUCUAUAUUAUUUGAGAAAAUAAUUUUUAAUUUGGUAAAACUUAUUAUUUGACGGAAUUACAAUGACAUUGUUGUAGCCUAAGUUCUUGAUCUCAAUUUUCACUACUCUCUCCCUUUCUUUGGGUGAAAUUAUGUGUAUGAGAGUCAAACUACUUAAAUUUUGAUGUAAAUUCGUAGAUUCUUCAAAAAAUUAAAAUAACAAGGAACACAAGGUAACUCCAAAAGACUUUUAUACCUUUGUUUAAAUUCAGUAAGGAUAACUCUGAGGACUAUAGCCGGAGAAGGAGGACGACGACGUUUUCGACUUCUCCUUAUACUUCCCCGCCGGCGAUCCGCUGAGAAGAACGGAACCUUCUUCCUCCUCAGAUCGGACUCUAUUUUCACUUGAUUUUACAACAAAGAGUGCGUAAAACAUAUAUAGAGGAAGUAGCUGCUCGGCUUUUGAGGUUUUUUUUACAAAGAUACACUUCUCAGUGGAGUAAACUGAUUACUGCGGGAACACGCAUUUGGUUUUUUAUUUUUAUUUCAAAAGAAUAAAAAUAAGGUGAUUAAUUUUGACAGACAGUGGGUUUCACUUUUCUACAAGAAGCAAUUCCAUUCAAAAGCUAUUGCAGCUCAAUCGCAUGAUUAAACGAAUUCUAGCAGAAGUGAAUUGGAAGUUUGGAGUCGGACCAAUAUUGACUUAGAAUUGUUUACUUGGACUCAUUCAUUGAGUAUAAAAUUAAGCUUUUACUCCCUGCAGCAGGAUAGAAAACUCUCGCCCAUAAGGUGUGUUUGACCAAAAGAUAUAAAAACUUUUUUGAUUAAAACCACUAAAAAUAAGGAUGAG
RNAcentral lists this long non-coding RNA (1626 nucleotides) under Nicotiana benthamiana. Its description in RNAcentral is "long non-coding RNA (NBEN_LNC017282)". The record is from RNAcentral. Lineage: Eukaryota; Viridiplantae; Streptophyta; Magnoliopsida; Solanales; Solanaceae.